CACCACGCUGUCCUUCCUCCCACCCAACCUGUGCCUGGCACUUCUGUCCCCUGCAAUGACAAAUCGGGGGUCCAGGAGGGGGACCUGCCCGUGCUUUGCAGAGGGGACACGAAAACCCAGAGGAAUUUCACCCACACCCCACAUCGACUGGAAAAUGAGGGCUUGGGACCUGCCAUGAGACACGGAUCCAUGAGUAUGGGGGUCCUGUCCAUAGCCCACUGCCACCGGGAGCAGCUGAGCAGGGCCACAUCUUGCUAGCUAUUCGCAGCGGUUAAUUGUACCCUUGACUUCUACCAUUUCUCCGAGAGAAGGAGGUUGUGCAGCCUCUGUUUGUGCCUCCUCCCAGC
RNAcentral lists this long non-coding RNA (347 nucleotides) under Calidris pugnax (ruff). Its description in RNAcentral is "lncRNA (ENSCPUG00000018087.1)". Lineage: Eukaryota; Metazoa; Chordata; Aves; Charadriiformes; Scolopacidae. The record is from RNAcentral.